This is a long non-coding RNA of Papaver somniferum (opium poppy), 616 nucleotides long. RefSeq lists it as uncharacterized. The record is from RefSeq and is a predicted model, not a curated record. The transcript is spliced from 7 exons. NCBI's taxonomy places the organism in Eukaryota, Viridiplantae, Streptophyta, Magnoliopsida, Ranunculales, Papaveraceae.
UAAUUUCGAGAUUCCUCUCAAUUGAAUCAAAAUGAAGAAUUUUUUUCAAAUCAGCGUGAAGAAUUUUUUUCGUUUAGAAAUUAAUGGGUUUCCUGAUGAGGAUGGAUGUAAAAGUCAUUAGAUGUUCAAUUUGUAGAAACUUCACGUCAAGAUGGAAGUUAUAUUAAGAACGAAACAUUGAAUUCGAUUAUACCAACUUCCGUAUAUGAAAUUCAAGUGUUGCUUUCAGAAACAAUCUAAUGAAAAGAUGAGUUGGGUCAUUCUUAGAUGCCAUGGCAACAAACUUAAAGUGGAUUGUUUUUAGGAGCUGUUGUUGUAUCAAUUUCAGGAUCUGUUGUAUUUGAUUCAUAUUUAGAUUCUCUCUAGGAAGUCUUUCAGGUAGGAGAGAAAAUUUUCUGAGUCACUCCAGCCAUAUGUUAUCUGUCUUACAAAUUAAGGACUUAGGUUUGUGUAGUACUGGAUACUAGUGUUGCUAAACAUUUUCUCUGUAGUUUGCUUAUGAAGAUGCUAGAAGUUGAACAUCCAGGUGCUAAGGGUUUAAGCAGUGGCUCUUGCUAUGUCACUUUCCUUGUCGAGGAGAAGGACGUCAGUAUCUCAAACUUGUGGGAAUGCAGGG